GAUGAACGCUGGCGGCGUGCCUAAUACAUGCAAGUCGAGCGAACAGACGAGAGUGCUUGCACUCUCUGACGUUAGCGGCGGACGGGUGAGUAACACGUGGGUAACCUACCUAUAAGACUGGGAUAACUUCGGGAAACCGGAGCUAAUACCGGAUAAUAUUUAGCUUCGCAUGAAGCAAUAGUGAAAGACGGUUCUGCUGUCACUUAUAGAUGGACCCGCGGUGUAUUAGCUAGUUGGUGAGGUAACGGCUCACCAAGGCAACGAUACAUAGCCGACCUGAGAGGGUGAUCGGCCACACUGGAACUGAGACACGGCCCAGACUCCUACGGGAGGCAGCAGUAGGGAAUAUUGCGCAAUGGACGAAAGUCUGACGGAGCAAUGCCGCGUGAGUGAAGAAGGUUUUCGGAUCGUAAAACUCUGUUGUAAGGGAAGAACAAGUACGUUAGUAACUGAACGUACCUUGACGGUACCUUACCAGAAAGCCACGGCUAACUACGUG
RNAcentral lists this ribosomal RNA (499 nucleotides) under uncultured bacterium. RNAcentral describes it as "partial 16S ribosomal RNA". It matches the Rfam family "Bacterial small subunit ribosomal RNA", at positions 28 to 507 of the family's 1533-position model. The record is from RNAcentral.